CGCUAACUGAAGUGCUUGUGUUUUGUAUUUGCAGAAAAGUAAGAGCACAGUUACCUUCAGAGGAGUGGCAGCACACACACACCGAGAGCAGGAGGAGAGUGAUGGAGAGGAUCUUCACAGACAUUUUCACCGGUGGUCUGGCUCACUGAUCAGAGUUAAAAUCUACGAGUUGAUUCGUGUUUGGUUAUUUAUUGGUCUGCACUUCCAGGCUCCACUGGUUCAGAGACUUAUCCCCAUGAACGAAGUAAGACAGAGCUCGAUCGGUUUCAACUUGUAAGGGGAGCCGGUCGUAUCAGCCUCAGCACCUCAGUGAUCAUAUCGAGGUUGGACCUCAAUGCAACACGGACGUUUCUUUCUAGGACCAGCUGGACCUGAGAGGUAAAGGGUUUAAAAUUGAGUUACUUUUCCUGAGAAAAGUCUGAUUACAAGGAAAAUCACAGUUAAAUCUACUUUAAAGUGGAAUUAGAUUCUAGACUUGAUUAUCAUUCUCACUAAACCCCCUACCAGUUUAAAAGAGGAAACAUACAUGAAACUCCUUAAAUCACUAAAAGAAAAAAUCGCUUUUGAAAUGUUACAUGAAAUUAUUUGACAGUGAUCAGGCUUGUUUUGUGCCUCACUCUGUAACCAUUUUACACUUUGAAAGAAAAACAAGUCAGUGUUUUCCCUUAUGAUACAGUAUGUUGUUCAUUGUUUUCUUUAACAGUGCUGUCUUGUAUAAAAUGAAGAGGAUCCACUUUUUCCAAUAUCUUUAAACCCUGAAUGGCAGGAUGCAGCACACAGUUAUCAGUUACAGUCAGAUUUCUAUCAAACAUUUCUCCCAAUUUUUCCACCACAAAAUCUGGAAUAUGUCAGAAGGAACUUCACGUGUGCAGUAGGCAAUGUGUCAAGGCUGAAGUAAAGAGCAAAUAAAAGACAUUUAUGAGCAUUAAUAGAAACGUCCUCACAACAGACAGAUUCAAUAUUCACACUCAGUGGACAAAUUAGCUCCAAGGUGUGCCCACCACUAUAUCCAGGUUCAGAUUCUUAAUCUUCUAGAAUAUUCUUGAAGAUUAGAAAAGUCCACUAAACUCAUCCGAGUGGUCUAUAAAUUAAAAUUGUAUUCUCAUCCAGUCUAAUUCAUGCUCCUCAAAGUCUAUCGAUUUAUUGGAUUGUGAACAUUAGAGUUCAGAGGGUUUUAAGGCUGCUGGGCAUUCAUAGACAACAAAAUAUUUGUUCUCUACGAAUGAAAUUUAUUUUUUAAUAUUUGUCACAUAGAGCAUUGCACAGUGCUUUACAUGAUACACAAGUCCCCCCAAAAUAGGUCCACUUGCAGGGUUGUUGUUGGUUGUUGCUGUGUGUCUGUUCUGCUCCUGCUGUCCUCUAUAUAUCACAAUGAGUACCAGCUCACAAAAUAUAUGGCUCUUGAAGUACCGCCCUUAUUGCCGACAUUAGAGUACAGUAGUUUAGGCCUAUUUAACACCAUAUACAGUUUACUUGAAACAAUUUCAUUUCAUAUAUGAAUGUUAUUCAUUUUAACAGUCAGAAUGUGACAAGGGAUAAUAAUAACAACUGUACUGCAUUAAAACUCCAAAGCAGGUGGGAUAUCCAGUCUUUAAGUGAUGACCUGAUGAAACUUGCUUCCGGGUCCAAACUACAUUUAUAAAGACUGUUGUGUUUUUAACAUUUUUUAAUCCUUUGUAUUUUUUUC
Molecule: long non-coding RNA, 1687 nt
Organism: Oreochromis aureus
Lineage: Eukaryota; Metazoa; Chordata; Actinopteri; Cichliformes; Cichlidae
Exons: 3
Source: RefSeq, a predicted model, not a curated record